RNAcentral lists this transfer RNA (72 nucleotides) under Marmota monax (woodchuck). RNAcentral describes it as "tRNA.Ala". The record is from RNAcentral. Lineage: Eukaryota; Metazoa; Chordata; Mammalia; Rodentia; Sciuridae.
GUGAAUGUACCUCAGCGGUAGAGGGCUUGCCUAGCAUGAAUGAGUUCCUGGGUUCGAUCACCAGCACCUAAA